CCUACGGGUGGCAGCAGUGAGGAAUAUUGGUCAAUGGACGCAAGUCUGAACCAGCCAAGUAGCGUGCAGGAUGACGGCCCUCCGGGUUGUAAACUGCUUUUAGUUGGGAAUAAAAGGGGGCUCGUGAGCCUCGUAUUGUAUGUACCAUCAGAAAACGGCCCGUCUAAUUCCGUGCAAGCAGCCGCGGUAAUACGGAAGGUCCGGGCGUUAUCCGGUUUUAUUGGGUUUAAAGGGAGCGUAGGCCGGCUUUUAAGUCAGCUGUGAAAGUCCGCGGCUCAACCGUAGAAUUGCAGUUGACACUGGAGGCCUUGAGUGCACAGAGGGAAGCCGGAAUUCGUGGUGUAGCGGUGAAAUGCUUAGAUAUCAUGAAGAACUCCGAUCGCGAAGGCAAGUGUCCGGGGUGCAACUGACACUGAGGCUCGAAAGUGCGGGUAUCAAACAGGAUUAGAUACCCGGGUAGUC
Molecule: ribosomal RNA, 462 nt
Filed under: uncultured bacterium
Lineage: Bacteria
Description: partial 16S ribosomal RNA
Rfam family: Bacterial small subunit ribosomal RNA
Source: RNAcentral